This is a long non-coding RNA of Lonchura striata (white-rumped munia), 510 nucleotides long. RefSeq lists it as uncharacterized. The record is from RefSeq and is a predicted model, not a curated record. NCBI's taxonomy places the organism in Eukaryota, Metazoa, Chordata, Aves, Passeriformes, Estrildidae.
GCCAGAUCCCCAGGACAGGGUUGAGGAAGAGCGCGGUGUCCGCGCAGGGUGGAGUUUCGCCCGGGGACCGCAGACAAACCAGGAGCUCUGGAGGCCAAGCACUCCCGUGACAGACAAUGGACUCCUACCUGAAUCCUCCUAUCUGAGGGGCCUGCACCAGAAAACGGAUGGACUUCUUCCCUGCUCUGCUCAUACACGGUGCUCAGAGAAAACCUGCAACGCGUCUGUGAGACUUAGGGAUGCACAUGAAAGGGGGCACAGCGUAAGGAGCCCACCCUAAGUAUGGAGGUUGUGCUUUUCAUUUUGCUGGAAUUUGCUGUUUCAUCUAGAGAAGCACUGGUAGAUGUGGCAUGAAUGAAAUUGUGCUGCUGCAAAACAAAGCUGAACAAACGGGAGGAGAAUUAUUUGAACUGUUUCUAAAAUGUUGUCAUGUUUGUUAACAGCUGCUUAACUCUAGUGUCUAACAAGCUCUUGGAAAAUAAGUUUAUUAAUAAAAAAAAGAAAAGGCAA